Molecule: ribosomal RNA, 1516 nt
Filed under: Loxopholis percarinatum
Lineage: Eukaryota; Metazoa; Chordata; Lepidosauria; Squamata; Gymnophthalmidae
Description: 16S ribosomal RNA
Rfam family: Bacterial large subunit ribosomal RNA
Source: RNAcentral
ACCCAACAUAAUGCCCACAAUAUAAUACAACCACAUUUAUUACUUUUAAUCUAAACCAUUUGCCCCAUCACAGAGUAGUACCUAGGUGAUAAAACCUCUCCAUACUGGCGCAUUACUGUACCGCAAGGGAACAAAGAAAUAAUAAUGAACAUUUAAGUACUUUACACAGCAGCGCUUAUCACACCUACCUCUUGCAUCAUGGUUUAACAAGACUUGCCCACACAAACCGCACCCUUUCAGUCUGUCCACCCGAAAUCAGGUGAGCUACCCCUGACCAACUUACCAGAGUCAACCCGUCACUGUCGCAAAAGUGUGGGACGAGUUAGGGGUAGAGGUGAAAAGCCAACCGAACCUGACAAUAGCUGGUUAUCCAACAAAUGAAUCUCAGUUCAACUUUAGAUGCCCACAUCACACUCCUACUUUAGCCCACCUUCAUCUAAAAGAUAUUCAAUGGGGGCACAGCUCCAUUGACUCAGGGAUACAACCCCAAAUAGCGAUAAAUUAAUAUUAUUUCCCCCGUAGGCCUUACAGCAGCCACCAAAUCGUAAAUGCGUCAAAGCACAACCAUAAUUUAAUACCACACAUUUAAUUGAUAUCCUAUCAUCCAUUGGAUUAUUCUAUAUUUAUAGAACAAAUCAUGUUAAAACUAGUAAUAUGAAAUAUUUCUCUCUGCACACGCAACACUUAACAAACCAACACUUAUUCUCCACACACCCAAGCUAACCAAGACCCAUACAAAUUGUAGACCCAACACAGGUGUGCGAAACCAGAUGAUUUAACCCUACAAAAGGAACUCGGCAACAAAAAUCUCAACUGUUUACCAAAAACAUAGCCUUUAGCCCAACAACUAUUAAAGGUGAUGCCUGCCCAGUGACUCAUUAAACGGCCGCGGGAUCCUCCACCGUGCAAAGGUAGCAUAAUCACUUGUCCUCUAAAUAAGGACUAGUAUGAACGGCCACAUGAAGAUUUUCCUGUCUCUUGUAGGAGAUCUAUGAAACUGAUCUUUCAGUACAAAAGCUGAAAUUUUACCACAAGACGAAAAGACCCUGUGGAACUUUUAAACGGCAACCACCACUAAUGGCUUACACCCGCUUUCAGUUGGGGCAACUACGGAAACAAACAAAACUUCCAUCACCCUAUAUAGGUGGACACACCUGUAUUUACACCCCCUUAGACCCAGUAUUACUGAUUAAAGAACCAAGCUACCCAGGGAUAACAGCGCCAUCCCCUCCUAGAGCCCCCAUCGACGAGGGGGUUUACGACCUCGAUGUUGGAUCAGGGCCCCCAAACAGUGCAGCAGCUGUUAACGGUUUGUUUGUUCAACAAUUAAUGCCCUACGUGAUCUGAGUUAAGACCGGAGCAAUCCAGGUCGGUUUCUAUCUAUGCCCCACACCUCCUACAGUACGAAAGGACCCAGGAAGUCAAGCCCAUAUUUAAAGAUAUGCUUGCCACAUAAAACUGACUUACACUAAAAUUAUAAUGAAUCUAGGACGCCUCCCGCCCUAGACAAGGGCAA